CGCUGGCGGCGUGCUUAACACAUGCAAGUGGAGCGACGAACCGGGGCUUGCCCCGGGGCAGAGCCGCGAACGGGUGAGUAACACGUGGGUAACCUGCCUCAAUGGUUGGGACAACCCGGGGAAACUCGGGCUAAUACCAAAUGUGUUCACUCCUUUUAAGGGGAGUGAGGAAAGGAAGCUUCGGCCUCCGCAUUGAGAUGGGCCCGCGGCCCAUUAGCUUGUUGGUGAGGUAACGGCUCACCAAGGCUUCGAUGGGUAGCUGGUCUGAGAGGACGAUCAGCCACACUGGGACUGAGACACGGCCCAGACUCCUACGGGAGGCAGCAGUGGGGAAUCUUGCACAAUGCGCGAAAGCGUGAUGCAGCAACGCCGCGUGGGGGAAGACGGCCUUCGGGUUGUAAACCCCUUUCAGUUGGGACGAAGCUUCGUCGGUGAAUAGCCGGUUGGAGUGACGGUACCUUCAGAAGAAGCCCCGGCUAACUACGUG
RNAcentral lists this ribosomal RNA (487 nucleotides) under uncultured bacterium. Its description in RNAcentral is "bacterial SSU rRNA". It matches the Rfam family "Bacterial small subunit ribosomal RNA", at positions 34 to 507 of the family's 1533-position model. The record is from RNAcentral.